Molecule: ribosomal RNA, 711 nt
Filed under: Rossellomorea marisflavi
Lineage: Bacteria; Bacillati; Bacillota; Bacilli; Caryophanales; Bacillaceae
Description: bacterial SSU rRNA
Rfam family: Bacterial small subunit ribosomal RNA
Source: RNAcentral
UGGGAGCUUGCUCCCUGAGAUCAGCGGCGGACGGGUGAGUAACACGUGGGUAACCUGCCUGUAAGACUGGGAUAACUCCGGGAAACCGGGGCUAAUACCGGAUAACACCUACCCCCGCAUGGGGGAAGGUUGAAAGGUGGCUUCGGCUAUCACUUACAGAUGGACCCGCGGCGCAUUAGCUAGUUGGUGAGGUAAUGGCUCACCAAGGCGACGAUGCGUAGCCGACCUGAGAGGGUGAUCGGCCACACUGGGACUGAGACACGGCCCAGACUCCUACGGGAGGCAGCAGUAGGGAAUCUUCCGCAAUGGACGAAAGUCUGACGGAGCAACGCCGCGUGAGUGAAGAAGGUUUUCGGAUCGUAAAACUCUGUUGUUAGGGAAGAACAAGUGCCGUUCGAAUAGGGCGGCGCCUUGACGGUACCUAACCAGAAAGCCACGGCUAACUACGUGCCAGCAGCCGCGGUAAUACGUAGGUGGCAAGCGUUGUCCGGAAUUAUUGGGCGUAAAGCGCGCGCAGGUGGUUUCUUAAGUCUGAUGUGAAAGCCCACGGCUCAACCGUGGAGGGUCAUUGGAAACUGGGGAACUUGAGUGCAGAAGAGGAAAGUGGAAUUCCAAGUGUAGCGGUGAAAUGCGUAGAUAUUUGGAGGAACACCAGUGGCGAAGGCGACUUUCUGGUCUGUAACUGACACUGAGGCGCGAAAGCGUGGGGAG